Nicotiana tabacum (common tobacco) is the source of this 864-nucleotide long non-coding RNA. RefSeq lists it as uncharacterized. Lineage: Eukaryota; Viridiplantae; Streptophyta; Magnoliopsida; Solanales; Solanaceae. The record is from RefSeq and is a predicted model, not a curated record.
AUUUUGAGGCAAAAAAACUCUCUUAUGCCUUACAGGAACUUUUGUAAGGCCUCUUUUGCCUUAUAGGAAUUAUUUCAUGAAUUCGAACUUUCACAUUAGAAAACUAUAAAGUGAUAUUUGAAAACAAAUACUCAUGUAUUUCAUUCUGUUUAUUUGCUUAAUUCCAUAGAGUCUAUGCUAAAUAUUAUUCAACAUAAAAAGAGUAGUUUUGUCUGAAUCAUCUACCUAAAGGUAAACCCAAAACGACUUGAUGUAGGGUACAAAAGCAUUUUAUAGUGGAGGGAUGCUGAUGUUGGAUUCUUAUUGUGCAACUAAUUUGGACUCCUCUAAUGUACAAUCGAGAAGCAUCGAUUGUCUUCUUUCUUUCCACCCAAGUUUAUCCUUCUUUGCUUUCAUCUCAUUUUUGCUCUGCUCUUUCUGACAAAGCAGUGUGCAACAUAUCAAGGACAUCGGUUAGAAUCAGGUUAUAAGCUAAAGAAGAUCACAGAGGAAUCAGCUUCACAUUGGAAGCAUGGACUUUGAAGACUAGGCACUUACCAGCACAUGGAGUCGGUUGUGCUGAUACUACAAUCUGCACUGUGUGUAGAUCCCGGAGUAGCAGCUUUUGGACCGUAGAUUGGGUGGCUGCCUUCAGUCCACGCGGAGAUCCAAGGUAGUUCUGUAGGUGUCCGCAGGCCCUGGCGUCUCCCUCUAUCCCUUUACUCAUGUUUCAUCUACUUAGUUCAGAAACAAUGUAUUUUUUAUCUUUCAGAAUUUGUAUUUAGUAUUCUUAGAUCGUCUGUGAAACUGUGACACCAGUUCUGGGUGUUCGAGGCUCAAACAGUUGUAUUUGAUAUAUAUUUCAGAUAAGUAUAUUGCAUUUCU